This 2319-nucleotide long non-coding RNA is filed under the name Phasianus colchicus (ring-necked pheasant). Its description in RNAcentral is "lncRNA (ENSPCLG00000019697.1)". Lineage: Eukaryota; Metazoa; Chordata; Aves; Galliformes; Phasianidae. The record is from RNAcentral.
AUCAUUUCAUUCCCCAGCUUGUACUGAUUGGAUGGUUGCUGCAACUCAGAUCUUGGUCAGCAGUAACAGGUUGCAGGGAGGUUCUUCAGAAAGUGGUUUUCUGUUUGUUGCUUUUAAAUUUAUUUGUUUUUAAUUAUUUUUAAUUCAGUACAUGUUGAUAUUGCCUUUACCUUAUGGUGUAACUCAAGGUGAAAAAAAAAUUCCAUUUUUUACACUGGGAACAAGCACUAGGAAACAAUUUAAUUGAAUUACUUCUUAAAGCUGGAAAUGUUUUUCUGUUCACACAGCCCCUGGCAGGCAAGGUAGUUUUGCUUUCUUUUAUUUCCAGUAUCCAACCCGUUUUGUUCCACUUUUCUGAAAGGGAAAGCCCACCUUUUUCUGCAUCUUUAUUCACGUUCUUAAGCGAAUUAGCUGAUCCCCAGUGUGUGAGACACAUGCCAGCUCCCCAUGGGUUUCCUGGGCUGGGUUUGCCCAGUGUUGGUGUCCUUCUGCUAAGGAAGCAGGCAGUGUGAGGUGGGAUGCAGGGCUGUGCCUGGAGCUCAUGGCAUUGUUAAUUAAACCUGCAGCCAGCUGGUGGCAGCCAGAGCAGAAAGCAGAGCUCCUUAUUUGAUAUGACACUUGUUGUACGAGGGACUGCUCUUCUGAAAGGUCCCAGCUGGUCCCUGAAGGCCUUAAGUCACUCGUGCAGUCAGGAAGCAAUGCUCAAGGCCUCUGUGCUGCUGCAUCACCUCCUGCAGGGCUCAGUGCCCAGCUGCGUGGUGCCUUCCUUCUGACAUGGCCUUCAGGUUUGUUGCGUCAGCAUUCCUUCCCAGCAGCAUGCUUUGCUGCCACUGUUUCUGUAAAUAAUUUCAAUUGGAAUCUGGACAUUACAUCUGAUGCAUUUGGAUCAGGCUUUGUUUCCCCUGUAUAAAAUCUCUGUAGUAAUUAAAACUAGUAAUAAAACCUUGUGAUGAAGUUUAGUUUCCCUAGAAGAUGCCAGCAGGGCAUCACAAGGCAGCUUGUGCCUUGUGGCUGAGCCAACCUUUGGCUGGGAUAAAAGGGAUCUCAUCAGCAGGGCAGAGUGUGGGACCACACCAAAGGCUUCAGAAGCUACCAAAAGAGGAAUCUAUGCCCUCCUGGUCAGUAGAAGAUUUCUCUAAUGUAGAAAACAUGAAAAGUACAUGGAGAGUAAAUCAUCCAAGGACAUUCCUUCAAGAUGCUGCUGGAGUGCCAGCUUGACUUUCUUCCUAGCAGAUGACGUAUGAUAGGGACAGGGUAGGUCUGGUUGCUUAUUUUCUAUUCAAGAGUGGUGUCCUAAUAUUGAUGCCCUUCUAGGUCUGCAAAAAAUCAGGAUCCACUUUCCUCAGUGGUUUGUUUACAUAAGGCUGGCAGAAGUAAGGGUGAAACUCAGGUUUGGUCUGCUUUUGGGUGGGUGCCCAGAACUGCUGUGAGCUCAGAGCAACAGGCACCCUGUGUGGCACCCUUGAGAAUAGUGCACUUUAUUUAUGUAUUUACUUAGAUGGUGACACAAAAGGAGUGAAGUAGGUACAUUAUGUUUGGUGUACACAUAUUGCUGCGCAAAAGGUAAUUAGAGCUUCUGGGCAGCAAGACCAACUGCAGUGGGACUGUGUGAGAGCUCCCAUAGACUCAUGUCCUCUUUCUUACAGUUGCACAAAACAGCUGCUGGCAGAUAAACUCAGGACCAGGUCAAGCGUAGAGCAAUCACCCUGUGUCCCUCUCCACACCCAGCAGAGAGUGGUUCGGGGAUGUACUGAGCCAGAGGCAACAAUAUGAGCCCUGUGUUUCAAGCAAAAAUCCAAAACACAUGUUAGCAAUCAUCUCAGAUAGCUAAAUUUUCAAAACAAAUUCAAAAUUAGGUUUGGUUCUCAUAACUGAAGUGUUACGUCUCUCCUCACUGUAUGGUCCCGCUGAGAAGGUGGAGCUGAGCAGCUUCCAUCCAGGCCAGUGGGGUACCUGCAUUGUGCUCCCACCUGGAGCUCAAAUGGGGCACCUAGAAGGACAGGACAAACUACCAGUGGAUGGUGGCAGUCAGGAUUUCAGUCCUUUUAUGAUGAGCAACCUUUUUCUUGACUUUAAAAAUCUGUUGGAAAGGCUGGAGUAGGUCCUGAGUGCUGGAAUGAUUUGGCAUGAACAGUAUGUGUAUUAGGUGGCCUUUUCUCUUGACCUUUUGAUCAGGGUUAAGUGCAAUAUCUAUUUAUACCCCUGCUGUUGAGGCAUCUUACCCUGCUCUUGCAGGAAUGGCGGCUGCCAAGCUGAGUAGACCCAGAAUGGCUGAAUGCAGAAAAUAAACAAAACUGCAGUCUUCUUGUUUCUCUGCUG